CAAGGUAGUAAUAUAUCAUCUCAAAUUUCAGGGCCAUAAGCUAGAUAAAGAGGAUAAAUUAAGGAUUUGCAUCAACCCAAAUUCAUAUAAAGACUCAAUUAAGUACACCUUGUAAUAUAAUUUUGGAAAAUUUGUAAAAAAUAAUCCCACCUUUAUCCGUCCUUCUAAAAAUAGUACCACAUUUAACAUAUUUAUGAAUAAUCCAAGCUUUAGAGGGUAUCUUCCAUAAACAGUAUGGUUUACCUACAACCUAAACAAUCGGUUACUUUUAUAUUACAAGUCAAAUAAGCUACGUGUUGCUUCCUGAUUGGUCUAUUAUUAAUUUUAUUAUUAAGAUAAUCAUAUCCUCUUAUCGCCCAUUUAUACAGUCUCUCACCUCCUCCCCUUGUCACCCAAACACCACCCCCUUGUCUCUGACUCUCCCCCCACCACCUCACCGCCAUGCAUCAUUUUAUCUCCUCCCCCCACCUUUUCUCUCUCCUCUCCAACUCCAUCGAUACCACCCGACCACCGACCGUAGACCAGCCAAGCCCACACAACUUUCAUCAUCUCUCUCCUUGUUUCUCUCUCGUUCUCCACCACCAACCUAACGCCAUGGGCGCCGACCAUAACCCAACCUCCCUACUACUUUUCCCUUGCUCUCACUCUAUUUCCUCUCUUUACUCCCUUUUCUAUCUCUAAAACUCACCCAACAUUUAAUCGUUUGAAAAAUUGAUCUGCCAUGGAUGACAAUUCAAAAAGGAUGAACAAGGAGGUCGACAAAUUGCUAUUCAAUUCUGCCGCCCUUUGCCGCUGCCGUCUCCAAGUCUUCUUAGAAAGACUGUUUCUGACCAUGUUACACUCUUGCCUGAUUCCUCCAUUCCUAAGGGAGAUCGAUGAUUCGAAGGAGAAAAUUGCAACUAAUGGGAUCGGACAAUGAUAAAAUUCAGUUGUGGAUGUUAUGUCUCUGACUUGCAAUUUAUCUUAUGUGUAUUUAACUGUAAAUAUUACAUGAUAGUCUGAAUUUAAGAUUUCAA
Molecule: long non-coding RNA, 1016 nt
Organism: Spinacia oleracea (spinach)
Lineage: Eukaryota; Viridiplantae; Streptophyta; Magnoliopsida; Caryophyllales; Amaranthaceae
Exons: 2
Source: RefSeq, a predicted model, not a curated record